UAUUAAAGAAUUAAAUGGAUGAAAUAUAAAGUUUUAUUAAAAGAAAAAGGGGUGAAAAGAACAAAGUUUUGUCCAUCUUUGUUCAUCAUAGCUGAAAGUUAGAGAAGAGAAAGGAGAGGAGAAAGCUCUUGAGUAUUUGGUCAUUAGGAGGAGGAAAAUUGAAGGUAAGUUCUUGGUACCUUGCUUCUAUUUUGAGGUUCAUGAGUUCUUCUUGAUUCUAUCUUAACUCUUGAAGUAUAUUUUGGUUUUUAGUUGUGUUGUGAGCAUUUAGUCAUGAAUUAAAAUGAAAGAAAUGGUUGUUGUUUCAUGUUCUUUUGAUGAAAAAAUGGAAGAUAGGUGAAGUUGAGCCAAACAAAUGAGCAUGCAUGUGCCUUAGAUGUUAAAGGGAAAAAUCGGCUAACAUGUUGUGCUUUAAAAUGAUGAAAUGGAGAUUAUACUUAAGUAAAAUCAUAGAUAUGUGAUGACUGAUUGGUGAUAUACAUGUUUAAAUAACAAGCAUGCAAGUUAGGUGUGAAAGAGUGAUUUGGUAAUAAAUCUGCUUGGGAUAGCAGCAGUAACGUGACUUUGGAAAAUCACCAUAAAUUGUAGGAGAUAAGUUAGAAGCUGAAUAAAUUAUGUAAUUAAAGCUUAUUGAGUCUAGUUUCUAAUGAAAUAAACAAGAACAUAUUUUGAAUUCUGUACAAUGAGAAAUUUGAUUCGUAAUGAAGAGUGGUCAGAUUAGUCAAACAGUGAAACAUGGGAAACUUUAAGAAAAAUAUGGUAUUGAUUGGCCAUACCAAAAAUUCUGAAAAUUUUAUGGAUAAAAGAUAUAUGAGUCUAUUUUCAGGGAAAAUUAACGGAACUUGAUUUGGAGUUUCGUAGCUCCAGUUAUAAAUAAUUUAGUGACUGUUGCUCAGGAAGACAGCUUGCAGUGAAAUUAUGAUUAUGUGGUAAACAUUGACAAAAAUUUGUUAAUCAGUUGCUUAUUGAUUUCUUAUAAGCUUACUAUGAUCUGUAGGUGUGGUUGGCCGAAUAUUGUAAGGGGUUAAUACGUAGUUUGUAUUUGAAUAGUUAGAUUAACGUGUUAGUAAUCCAAUUGUAGGCGGUUCGUGUGUGGAUCUCGUCAGCAUAUCGUCGCAAACAGGUGUCUAACUGACACCCUCUCAUAGACUAGAUUGGCAAAAGCCGAAAAGCCGAAAUGCCGAAAAGUCUGUAUUUUGGGAAUUUGCGAGUGUGCGAAUGCUCGUAAGAUAGUUGGGUUUGUAGAUUUGAUAAUCUAAAGUAAUAAACUGCAGUACGCGCGAUUUCGUACAUUUUGAUAAUUUGGGCUUAAUGGGCCAAAGAUCAGGUUCAUGGGCCAACGGGCCCAAUUCGGUAAGUAUGCGCGAUAAGUGUUCUGAUAGUACGUAAAUAGUUGGGAUAUGCAUGAAAACCCUAAAAGUAGCUAAAUUACUAUAAUACCCCUAUGUAUGGAAAAUUACUGUUAUACCCCUAGGUGCAAAAUUACCGUUAUACCCCUAGGGUUAAUUUUGACUAAAAAGCAUGAUGAUCUGAUUCUGUAUGAUGUAUGCCAUGAUUAUAUAUCUGUUGCAUGGGGACAUGGGUUAUAUUAUGGAGGAAGCGUUCUGGUGGCUAUGCCACAAAUAUCUGAUCUGGUGGCUCUGCCACAUAUAUCUGUUCUGGUGGCUCUGCCACGAUUAUCUGUAUUUGGUGACUCUGUCACAUUAUCUGUUCUGGCAGCCAUGCUGUAAAUUCUGUGGUGUAUAGUGGUUGGGUGGGUCGAGUUGUCUCCCCACACGGUGUAAGGUUGGUACGGGGGUGUAUACGGUUGGAUAUGGUUGGGUUUCUGCAUAAACAUGUAAUAUCUGUUCUGUUCUGUUAUGGGCCUAUGGGCUUUAUUCUGAAUUCUGUUCUGGGCUAAGGCCAACUUAUUAUGUUUCUGUGGGUUGAGCUGAUUUAGACUAUGGUUGGGUUAUUUUACACACUGAGUUUCCCCAAACUCACCCCUUUUAUUUUCAUCCACGCAGGAAAUCCCCAACCAUAGUGGGCUUGGAGCUGUGAGGGAAUUCGGAGUGGCAACCCGUUCUGAAAGUUUGAUUUUCUUCUGGUGAACUGGACAUCCUUUUAAUUACGUUUGAGGUUUUGGGCUUUUAAAUGUAAUAAGACCGCUUAUUUAUUUUUGAUGGUUUUUAAUAUGUAUUACUAAUAUAGGUAAUACUUAUUUUAACUGUUGAAAUUGGAUAGCUUUAGGGCGCGUUUUCAAAAACAACAGUUGAUUUCAAAAUAACACGACAACAUGCAAAGCUUCUGCAAUGAAAGUAUUUUCCAAGAUUAAUCACUUUUCCUAAAAAUGACUUAAUCAAAUCGGUUUCCUAGAAAUAUCCAUGACGUUAAAGUGUGGCAAUGGCGGUAUGCAUGUCUAGGAUUGGAUCCGAAAGGAGCUUGGUACUUAAGCAGUCCGAUGGACUCACCACCUCUUUUCCGGUUUCCUACCUGGUGCACAGCUUCCAUUCACUUUAACCUUUAAUGAAUUAAUCUUUUGAACAUCAAGUACGAUUUUCUAGACUUAGAAUGGAAUUUUUUUUUACGUUUUUGAUGUGGCAUGCCGGAUCUGGCCAUAACUUCUGGGCCGGGUUUGGGGUGCUACAUGAUAUGUAGUCCCGAUUCAAAUAUUCCAUCACAUAUUGAAAUUCAUAGAAAGCGAAGCUGAAGGCAAUGAGUGAAUUGUUCGAUGAUUGAGACAAAUCUUAGGAAUUGCAAAUAUAGAUAGCUGAGCUGAGGUAGUUUGUUCUGAAUACAAUGGUUGAACUGCAAACUCUCAAUGCAGGCAAUUCACCCAAGAAUAUAGUUCAAGUUAAAUGGAUAUUCUUGAUAAGUCUAAAUUAUAUAGACUUUUAUAAUACCUUUUUAAUUAGAAUUCAUGUAAAUCUCGAGCAUUUGAAUAACUAAUUAUGUAAUUUUGGUUCAUAUUGAGAUAUUGGGCAUAAUUUAUGCAAAAUUUGUAAUUUUACAUAAUUAAGAGUUAACUUUACGUAAUUUCAUUGAAUUAUACUACAUGAUCAUUUCUUUGUUAAAUUGUUGUAGUAUGAACCAUUAAUUUACUCAAUGUUGG
This 3091-nucleotide long non-coding RNA is filed under the name Gossypium barbadense (sea-island cotton). RNAcentral's name for it is "long non-coding RNA (GBAR_LNC023509)". The record is from RNAcentral. Lineage: Eukaryota; Viridiplantae; Streptophyta; Magnoliopsida; Malvales; Malvaceae.